RNAcentral lists this ribosomal RNA (397 nucleotides) under uncultured bacterium. RNAcentral describes it as "bacterial SSU rRNA". It matches the Rfam family "Bacterial small subunit ribosomal RNA", at positions 28 to 429 of the family's 1533-position model. The record is from RNAcentral.
GACGAACGCUGGCGGCGUGCCUAACACAUGCAAGUCGAACGGGACCGGGGGCAACUCCGGUUCAGUGGCGGACGGGUGCGUAACACGUGAGGAACAUGACAUUCGGCGGGGGAUAGCCGGCCCAACGGCCGGGUAAUACCGCGUACGACCUUUCGGGGACAUCCCCGGCUGGUGAAAGCAGCAAUGCGCCGAAUGAGUGCCUCGCGGCCUAUCAGCUAGCUGGUGGGGUAAUGGCCCACCAAGGCGACGACGGGUAGCUGGUCUGAGAGGAUGGCCAGCCACAUUGGGACUGAGACACGGCCCAGACUCCUACGGGAGGCAGCAGUGGGGAAUAUUGCGCAAUGGGCGAAAGCCUGACGCAGCGACGCCGCGUGUGGGAUGACGGCCUCGGUGUAAC